Non-coding RNA from Cinara cedri, 236 nucleotides. The record is from the annotation of a GenBank genome assembly. Lineage: Eukaryota; Metazoa; Arthropoda; Insecta; Hemiptera; Aphididae.
UUUAGACUCUUGGUAUAAUUUAAAAGCUAUUAUAGUUCUACUAUAUGAUGUGGAACUUUUACAGUUAAAUGCUCUGAUUUGUUCAUUCUCUACUUUAAAAUAAUGCCGAUUUUUUGAAAAAUGAUAUUUGUUACGUUUAUUGAUACGUUUACAACUCAUAGGGUCAUUUAAUUUUUUUUUGAUUUUUGUGUUACCUCCGCACAAGGAAUAAAAAUUAAAUAGUAUAUUAUACAAGU